AUUACACUCCCUCCGUUCGGAAUUACUCGUCCAAGAAAUGAAUGUAUCUAGAUGUAUUUUAGUUGUAGAUACAUCCAUUUUUAUCCAUUUUUGUGACAAGAAUUCCGAACGGAGGGAGUAGAUC
Triticum aestivum (bread wheat) is the source of this 124-nucleotide non-coding RNA. The record is from Rfam. Lineage: Eukaryota; Viridiplantae; Streptophyta; Magnoliopsida; Poales; Poaceae.